AUCCUGGCUCAGGAUGAACGCUAGCUACAGGCUUAACACAUGCAAGUCGAGGGGCAGCAUUAGGUAGCAAUACUGAGAUGGCGACCGGCGCACGGGUGCGUAACGCGUAUCCAACCUUCCCGUUACUCUCGGAUAGCCUUCCGAAAGGGAGAUUAAUACGAGAUGGUGUUUGAAUUCCGCAUGUUAUUCAAACUAAAGAUUUAUCGGUAACGGAUGGGGAUGCGUGACAUUAGCUAGAUGGCGGGGUAACGGCCCACCAUGGCUACGAUGUCUAGGGGUUCUGAGAGGAAGGUCCCCCACACUGGAACUGAGACACGGUCCAGACUCCUACGGGAGGCAGCAGUGAGGAAUAUUGGUCAAUGGUCUGACGACUGAACCAGCCAUGCCGCGUGAAGGUCACGGCCCUAUGGGUCUUAAACUUCUUUUGUAAGGGAGCAAUAAGUCUCACGUGUGGGAUGAUGAGAGUACCUUACGAAUAAGCAUCGGCUAACUCCGUG
This 497-nucleotide ribosomal RNA is filed under the name uncultured bacterium. RNAcentral describes it as "bacterial SSU rRNA". It matches the Rfam family "Bacterial small subunit ribosomal RNA", at positions 16 to 507 of the family's 1533-position model. The record is from RNAcentral.